GAUGAACGCUGGCGGCGUGCCUAAUACAUGCAAGUCGAGCGAACAGACGAGGAGCUUGUUCCUCUGACGUUAGCGGCGGACGGGUGAGUAACACGUGGAUAACCUACCUAUAAGACUGGGAUAACUUCGGGAAACCGGAGCUAAUACCGGAUAAUAUAUUGAACCGCAUGGUUCAAUAGUGAAAGACGGUUUUGCUGGCACUUAUAGAUGGAUCCGCGCCGCAUUAGCUAGUUGGUAAGGUAACGGCUUACCAAGGCAACGAUGCGUAGCCGACCUGAGAGGGUGAUCGGCGACACUGGAAGUGAGACACGGUCCAGGGUCCUACGGGAGGCAGCAGUCGGGAAUCUUCCGCAGUGGACGAGAGCCUGACGGAGCGACGCCGAGUGAGUGGUGGAGGUCUUCGGAUCGUAAAGCUCUGUUAUGAGGGAAGAACAAAUGUGUAAGUAACUGUGCACGUCUUGACGGUACCUGAUCAGAAAGCAACGGCUAACUACGUG
Molecule: ribosomal RNA, 497 nt
Filed under: uncultured bacterium
Lineage: Bacteria
Description: partial 16S ribosomal RNA
Rfam family: Bacterial small subunit ribosomal RNA
Source: RNAcentral